UUCGGCCACAUUCACGUUGAAACACCGAUUUUCGUACGAUCACCGAAGUUAAGCAACGUCGAGCCUGAUCGGAACCUGGAUGAGUGACCGUUUGGGAAUACCAGGUGCUGUAAG
RNAcentral lists this ribosomal RNA (114 nucleotides) under Acanthosepion pharaonis. The record is from RNAcentral. Lineage: Eukaryota; Metazoa; Mollusca; Cephalopoda; Sepiida; Sepiidae.